AGGAAAAAUGUGAAGGGGGUGAAUACUUCGGCAAGCCAGUGUGAUAUAUAUAUAUAUAUAUAUAGUAUACUAUAGUAUAGCCACUGUGAUGUAUACUAUAGUUAACGAAGUAAUACUAAGUGUCUGUUGUGUAGUGAGCUGUUUGUAGCCCAUGUGCCUCACCCUAAUUAUUUGGUCCCUUUCACCCUGAGUGGCGCUGUGGUCUACUGCACUGCAUCUCAGUACAAGAGGCGUCACUGUAGUACCUGGUUCGAAUCCAGGCUGCAUCACAUCUGGCCAUGAUUGAGAGUCACAAAGGGUGGCGCACAAUUUGUCCAGCCUUAUCCGGGUCAGGUGUGCUGGAGGCAGAGCAGAUCUCCACCAGCUGCAACAUGUUCCAUAAUCAAGACCUCUACAAAUACUCAGGCCUGCCACUUCCACGCUGCCAGAUCGUAACCUCUGCUCAUUUUGUCUGCUCUGACUCUGGUCCCUGUCUCCAGUUCCACAUCUCGUCAGUCCUGCUACUCAGUCCUGGAUCCCCCACUCUACCGCUUACUUGAAUUUCUCUCCGGACCUGCUUACCCAGCCCCAACUCCCCUAGCUCCAGCCUCAGCCUCAGAACCUGGCUCUGCUCUGCAUAACAGCUGAAAAGAAAGCUUUGCUGUUGGGACAGCAUUAUGUAGGCACCGUUUGUCACCAUUAUAGUGAAAUUCAUGUAUUGUUUAGUGUUGUCUAGUGGCUUUACUGGCAUGCCCCACCAAUAUGUACAUGCUAAAAUCACCACUGUAUAGGCCUAUAGGAUAUAGCCUAGCUUUUAGGAGGACAAUUUGCAGGCAGAGACAAAUCUGUAAUCAAUACUUUUUGAAAAUGAAGUGUGCAAUGCUCGCUCACCAUAGUAGCCUAACCUAUGUGCACGUUGUGCCUUUUCAUUGAUGAUUUACAUGUUUUGAUUGCACUUCAACUCAUGUUGGUUGAGACCCCUCCACUUCUUUCCAUGAUCAAUAUUUUCAUCCCAAAGAUGUCUGUCUGGGGUCCCAGCAGGUUAAAACAGCCAUGGAAGACCAGUCUACGGAGCUCAUGUGAAUUCUGCAGUAUAUUAACAAUCAGUGAAUUAUACAAAGUUCCUUCUUGAAUUGUUGGGUAGACCUACAGUAGUUACAAGACAGAAGUUUAAGCUUAAAGCUACAGUCUCAGACCUGGGAAUAACUGUAACGGUUUUCUUCCUGGGAAGGAGAGGAGGACCAAAAUGCAGCGUGGUUAUUUAUAAACAUCUUUAAUGAAAGAUGAAAACGUGAACACUAUACAAAAUAAGAAAACGUGGCAAAAACCGAAACAGUCCUAACUGG
This is a long non-coding RNA of Oncorhynchus mykiss (rainbow trout), 1325 nucleotides long. RefSeq lists it as uncharacterized. The record is from RefSeq and is a predicted model, not a curated record. Lineage: Eukaryota; Metazoa; Chordata; Actinopteri; Salmoniformes; Salmonidae.